This 904-nucleotide ribosomal RNA is filed under the name Psychrobacter sp. Its description in RNAcentral is "bacterial SSU rRNA". It matches the Rfam family "Bacterial small subunit ribosomal RNA", at positions 373 to 1260 of the family's 1533-position model. Lineage: Bacteria; Pseudomonadati; Pseudomonadota; Gammaproteobacteria; Moraxellales; Moraxellaceae. The record is from RNAcentral.
AGGGGGCACCUGAUCAGCCAUGCCGCGUGUGUGAAGAAGGCCUUUUGGUUGUAAAGCACUUUAAGCAGUGAAGAAGACUCCAUGGUUAAUACCCAUGGACGAUGACAUUAGCUGCAGAAUAAGCACCGGCUAACUCUGUGCCAGCAGCCGCGGUAAUACAGAGGGUGCAAGCGUUAAUCGGAAUUACUGGGCGUAAAGCGAGCGUAGGUGGCUUAAUAAGUCAGAUGUGAAAGCCCCGGGCUUAACCUGGGAACGGCAUCUGAUACUGUUAGGCUAGAGUAGGUGAGAGGAAGGUAGAAUUCCAGGUGUAGCGGUGAAAUGCGUAGAGAUCUGGAGGAAUACCGAUGGCGAAGGCAGCCUUCUGGCAUCAUACUGACACUGAGGUUCGAAAGCGUGGGUAGCAAACAGGAUUAGAUACCCUGGUAGUCCACGCCGUAAACGAUGUCUACUAGUCGUUGGGUCCCUUGAGGACUUAGUGACGCAGCUAACGCAAUAAGUAGACCGCCUGGGGAGUACGGCCGCAAGGUUAAAACUCAAAUGAAUUGACGGGGGCCCGCACAAGCGGUGGAGCAUGUGGUUUAAUUCGAUGCAACGCGAAGAACCUUACCUGGUCUUGACAUAUCUAGAAUCCUGCAGAGAUGCGGGAGUGCCUUCGGGAAUUAGAAUACAGGUGCUGCAUGGCUGUCGUCAGCUCGUGUCGUGAGAUGUUGGGUUAAGUCCCGCAACGAGCGCAACCCUUGUCCUUAGUUACCAGCGGUUUGGCCGGGAACUCUAAGGAUACUGGCCAGUGACAAACUAGGAGGAAGGCGGGGGACGACGUCCAAGUCAUCGUGGGCCCUUAGGACCAUGGCGUUACCCACAGUGCUACGAUGGUAGAGUACAGAGAGAGGCAGCUACGGUGCGA